UGCAAGCAUUUGCAAUGAAAAUCCUUUUUUCUUGAAAAAAGAUUGUAAUGGAAAGCCGGAAAUAGC
Molecule: small RNA, 66 nt
Filed under: Flavobacterium sp. 102
Lineage: Bacteria; Pseudomonadati; Bacteroidota; Flavobacteriia; Flavobacteriales; Flavobacteriaceae
Description: Flavo-1 RNA
Rfam family: Flavo-1 RNA
Source: RNAcentral